RNAcentral lists this ribosomal RNA (468 nucleotides) under uncultured bacterium. RNAcentral's name for it is "partial 16S ribosomal RNA". It matches the Rfam family "Bacterial small subunit ribosomal RNA", at positions 28 to 507 of the family's 1533-position model. The record is from RNAcentral.
GACGAACGCUGGCGGCGUGCUUAACACAUGCAAGUCGAACGGAAAGGCCCUGCUUUUGUGGGGUGCUCGAGUGGCGAACGGGUGAGUAACACGUGAGUAACCUGCCCUUGACUUUGGGAUAACUUCAGGAAACUGGGGCUAAUACCGGAUAGGAGCUCCUGCGGCAUGGUGGGGGUUGGAAAGUUUCGGCGGUUGGGGAUGGACUCUUGGCUUAUCAGCUUGUUGGUGGGGUAGUGGCUUACCAAGGCUUUGACGGGUAGCCGGCCUGAGAGGGUGACCGGCAACAUCGGGACUGAGAUACGGCCCCGACUCCUACGGGAGGAAGCAGUGGGGAAUAUUGCACAAUGGGCGGAAGCCUGAUGAAGCAACGCCGCGUGCGGGAUGAAGGACUUCGGGUUGUAAACCGCUUUCGCCUGUGACGAAGCGUGAGUGACGGUAAUGGGUAAAGAAGCACCGGCUAACUACGUG